RNAcentral lists this unclassified non-coding RNA (337 nucleotides) under soil metagenome. Its description in RNAcentral is "partial contains 5.8S ribosomal RNA, internal transcribed spacer 2, and large subunit ribosomal RNA". The stretch from base 1 to 120 matches the Rfam family "5.8S ribosomal RNA", at positions 35 to 154 of the family's 154-position model. The record is from RNAcentral.
GAUGAAGAACGUAGCGAAAUGCGAUAAGUAGUGUGAAUUGCAGAAUUCGGUGAAUCAUCGAAUCUUUGAACGCACAUUGCGCCCCUUGGUAUUCCAUGGGGCAUGCCUGUUCGAGCGUCAUUUGUACCUUCAAGCCUUGCUUGGUGUUGGGUGUUUGUCUCGCCUCUGCGCGCAGACUCGCCUCAAAACAAUUGGCAGCCGGCGUAUUGAUUUCGGAGCGCAGUACAUCUCGCGCUUUGCACUCAGAACGACGACGUCCAAAAGUACAUUUUUACACUCUUGACCUCGGAUCAGGUAGGGAUACCCGCUGAACUUAAGCAUAUCAAUAAGCGGAGGA